This 438-nucleotide ribosomal RNA is filed under the name uncultured bacterium. RNAcentral's name for it is "bacterial SSU rRNA". It matches the Rfam family "Bacterial small subunit ribosomal RNA", at positions 74 to 507 of the family's 1533-position model. The record is from RNAcentral.
UCGGGAUGACCUUGGUGCCGACGAGUGGCGACGGGUGAGUAACACUUAGGAAUCUGCCCAGUAUGGGGGGACAACAUUCGGAAACGGAUGCUAAUACCGCAUACGCCCUACGGGGGAAAGCGGGGGAUCUUCGGACCUCGCGCUAUUGGAUGAGCCUAAGUCGGAUUAGCUUGUUGGUGAGGUAAAGGCUCACCAAGGCGACGAUCCGUAGCUGGUCUGAGAGGACGAUCAGCCACACUGGGACUGAGACACGGCCCAGACUCCUACGGGAGCAGCAGUGGGGAAUAUUGGACAAAUGGGGGCAACCCUGAUCCAGCAAUGCCGCGUGUGUGAAGAAGGCCUGCGGGUUGUAAAGCACUUCAGUAGAGAAGAAAAGCCUAGGGUUAAUACCCCUGAGUCUUGACGUAACCUACAGAAGAAGCACCGGCUAACUCCGUG